GAUGAACGCUAGCGAUAGGCCUAACACAUGCAAGUCGAGGGGCAUCACAUGAGGCAGCAAUGCCGAUGGUGGCGACCGGCGCACGGGUGAGUAACACGUAUGCAACCUGCCUUCAACAAGGGGAUAACCCGUUGAAAAACGGACUAAUACCCUAUAAUACAGGGGUCCCGCAUGGGGAUAUUUGUUAAAGAUUGAUCGGUUGAAGAUGGGCAUGCGUUCCAUUAGCUGGUUGGUGAGGUAACGGCUCACCAAGGCAACGAUGGAUAGGGGAACUGAGAGGUUUAUCCCCCACACUGGUACUGAGACACGGACCAGACUCCUACGGGAGGCAGCAGUGAGGAAUAUUGGUCAAUGGACGCAAGUCUGAACCAGCCACGUCGCGUGAAGGAAGACGGCCCUACGGGUUGUAAACUUCUUUUGUAAGGGAAUAAGUGUAGUACGCGUACUAUUUUGCAUGUACCUUACGAAUAAGGAUCGGCUAACUCCGUGCCAGCAGCCG
RNAcentral lists this ribosomal RNA (499 nucleotides) under uncultured bacterium. Its description in RNAcentral is "bacterial SSU rRNA". It matches the Rfam family "Bacterial small subunit ribosomal RNA", at positions 28 to 517 of the family's 1533-position model. The record is from RNAcentral.